AUACGAGGGGUGCAAGCGUUAAUCGGAAUUACUGGGCGUAAAGCGUUCGUAGGCGGUUUGUUAAGCAAGAUGUGAAAGCCCAGGGCUCAACCUUGGAACUGCAUUUUGAACUGGCAGACUAGAGUAUUGUAGAGGGUGGUGGAAUUUCCAGUGUAGCGGUGAAAUGCGUAGAGAUUGGAAGGAACAUCAGUGGCGAAGGCGGCCACCUGGACAAAUACUGACGCUGAGGAACGAAAGCGUGGGGAGCAAACAGGAUUAGAUACCCCGGUAGUCC
RNAcentral lists this ribosomal RNA (274 nucleotides) under uncultured bacterium. RNAcentral's name for it is "partial 16S ribosomal RNA". It matches the Rfam family "Bacterial small subunit ribosomal RNA", at positions 523 to 796 of the family's 1533-position model. The record is from RNAcentral.